GUAUGAUGUUCUGGUAUAUAUGGUAGGUUAUGCAGCAGACAACCCGGGGGAAAGGUUUUUUUAUGCCUUAACAUGCUUCAGCAAUAAGUUUAUUUAUUCUGAUUGUGACGAAGCAUAUCGAUUGAAUGAAAGUGGAAACCUUAAUGUGCCUCCUGAUGCACUUGAUUUGUUCUGCCAUGGACCUUGUCUUGCUGAGACACAGCAAGUGCUGAAGUGAGUUGACAGCAUGUUAUCGACCUUCAUUUUCAAUAAUAAGGCUAGAGUACCAGAUAUAAGAGGUAUCCUCCAUGAAGGUUGCAGCUAUACCAGCCAAAGAGGGAACUUCAAUGGUUUUGGACCUUUCGGGGAGUAUAUACAAGGCGAAAAUGCUGCAGCAGAGCUACCAAAGUUAGUCAGCUUAUUCACAAUCUUAUGUAUUACAGGAUGUUGUCUCUUCUUUAUCUUUUGGUGAC
This is a long non-coding RNA of Argentina anserina (silverweed cinquefoil), 452 nucleotides long. RefSeq lists it as uncharacterized. The transcript has 3 exons. NCBI's taxonomy places the organism in Eukaryota, Viridiplantae, Streptophyta, Magnoliopsida, Rosales, Rosaceae. The record is from RefSeq and is a predicted model, not a curated record.